CCAACCCCAUCUCUUUCUCCCCAAACGGCACAAAUACCACGGGGCAAUGGAAGAAACUGAGCCCAGCCACCUCUAGGUUUUGCAUUCGCCACCGGGAUGAGAUCUGGCGGCUACAGCAGCGAUGACGGCUACGGCGGGGCAAAGGCAGGAUCUAGAGGAUGGGUGGUCCGCCUCAGAAUCUGCUGCAGCAAUAAGAAAAAGUGCUCGCCACUUUCUACCAGCAAGCAUGAUGCAUCUCAAUCUCAGGCUCUCUCACGUACAAAGAAGUAAUGAUUUUACUUUUUUGUCGGGUGUCCACCAUCACUUGAGCUGUAACCACUUGAAUGGCUGCCUUCAGCCAAGCUACAUUCUACGAUGACCGACUACUGCUGGAUUAUUAGGUGCUUGAUGGAAGGAUCGUCUAAGCAAACAUUUCGUUCUUUUGUACCAUGGUUUCAAGGUGGAAUUAGAAUAGAAUCUCUGCUCAAGCCUCGGAUUCCUUGAUGUUAUGCAGAUAUAUGGAACACAUAGAUUCAUCAUGAAGCAAACACAUCGAAGAUUUGCUUUAGGAGAGGACUGUGUGCUGUCAGAAGUUGUGAUAAUCAAGUGUUACAGAUGGAUUGGUUUGCUGCUUCAGAGUGACAAUAUUUGCCAUGUUCGGGUGUAACUAUAUUGGAGAUAAACAUGAUGGCACCUUGACAAUUGAGGUAUUCGACAAGCUCUUCUCUAUGAAAUCUUGGUGUUGUAUUGGCUUACUUGCCUUUCCAUCUGAACAAUUUUCUCCUGCUGGUCCUCCCUAAAAGCAUAUUCGUAUAUCUGUACAAGAAUUAACUUAUUCAACAUUUUAAAUAUAAAUACCAGUAUUCCAUUGUAACUUCAAUUGAUGCCAUAUUUCAUUUUCAUUUAUCCA
Triticum dicoccoides is the source of this 889-nucleotide long non-coding RNA. RefSeq lists it as uncharacterized. The transcript is spliced from 5 exons. The record is from RefSeq and is a predicted model, not a curated record. NCBI's taxonomy places the organism in Eukaryota, Viridiplantae, Streptophyta, Magnoliopsida, Poales, Poaceae.